UAGCCUCGAGGUAAAGAGUCAUGGAGGUAGAGCACUGUUUGGACUAGGGGCCCUUCUCGGGUUACCGAAUUCAGAUAAACUCCGAAUGCCAUGUACUUAUACUCGGGAGUCAGACUGCGAGUGAUAAGAUCCGUAGUCGAAAGGGAAACAGCCCAGACCACCAGUUAAGGUCCCCAAAUAUAUGUUAAGUGGAAAAGGAUGUGGGGUUGCUUAGACAACCAGGAUGUUGGCUUAGAAGCAGCCACCAUUGAAAGAGUGCGUAAUAGCUCACUGGUCGAGUGACCCCGCGCCGAAAAUGUACCGGGGCUAAACAUAUUACCGAAACUGUGGAUGAACCUCUUUAGAGGUUCGUGGUAGGAGAGCGUUCUAAGGGCGGUGAAGUCAGACCGGAAGGACUGGUGGAGCGCUUAGAAGUGAGAAUGCCGGUAUGAGUAGCGAAAGAAGGGUGAGAAUCCCUUCCACCGAAUAUCUAAGGUUUCCUGAGGAAGGCUCGUCCGCUC
Molecule: ribosomal RNA, 500 nt
Filed under: Listeria monocytogenes
Lineage: Bacteria; Bacillati; Bacillota; Bacilli; Caryophanales; Listeriaceae
Description: partial 23S ribosomal RNA
Rfam family: Bacterial large subunit ribosomal RNA
Source: RNAcentral